UACGUAGGGGGCUAGCGUUGUCCGGAAUCAUUGGGCGUAAAGCGCGCGUAGGCGGCCCGGUAAGUCCGCUGUAAAAGUCAAAGGCUCAACCUUUGAAUGUCAGUGGAUACUGUCGGGCUAGAGUCCGGAAGAGGCGAGUGGAACUCCUGGUGUAGCGGUGGAAUGCGCAGAUAUCAGGAAGAACACCAACGGCGAAGGCAGCUCGCUGGGACGGUACUGACGCUGAGACGCGAAAGCGUGGGGAGCGAACAGG
Molecule: ribosomal RNA, 253 nt
Filed under: uncultured bacterium
Lineage: Bacteria
Description: partial 16S ribosomal RNA
Rfam family: Bacterial small subunit ribosomal RNA
Source: RNAcentral